Symphalangus syndactylus (siamang) is the source of this 1019-nucleotide long non-coding RNA. RefSeq lists it as uncharacterized. The record is from RefSeq and is a predicted model, not a curated record. NCBI's taxonomy places the organism in Eukaryota, Metazoa, Chordata, Mammalia, Primates, Hylobatidae.
CACCUGAGAGGACCCAGCCUCCUCCUCCUCAGGACCCACUGGGGAGACGCCACUGUCUCUAUAGGAACACCUGGGGCCGUGGCCGGGGACAACCCAGCCUCCUUCUCCUCCGCUCCUCAGGAACGACUGGGGAAGCUGUGGCUUCAUGGCCCCCGAGGCUGCCUGACGAAAGAGUCUCACCCAGGCUGGAGUGCAGUGGUACGAUCUUGGCUCAUGGCAACCUCCGCCUCCCAGGUUCCAGCGAUUUUCCUGCCUCAGCCUCCUGAGUAGCUGGUAUUACAGACGCCUGCCAUCACGCCCGUCUAAUUUUUGUAUUUUUAGUAGAGAUGAGGUUUCACCAUGUUGGCCAGGCUGGUCUUGAACUCCUGAUCUCAGGUAUUUCAGGACAGCCAGGAGGGGGCGCGCAUCCGCCGAGAAACUGUGAGCAAGAGCGUCUGUGCUGAACCAUGGCGCCACCAGAGGGCGCGCGAUCCCGCCCCAACCAACUUCCCGCUGAGGUGCCAGAAGCAGCGAGGAGCUUCACCUUCCUCAGGGCAGCACGAGGGUCGUGUUAACUUGGUGUUCUUCAUUGAUUCCCCAACAGUUAUCGCUGUACCAGAUUUGCAGUGUCCCACAAAAUACUCCAGUAUGUUGUACGGAAUGCAUGGAUACUAUCCCAGGUAACUACCACAUAACCCCUAGAUCAGGAAAUCAGCAUUGUUCCUACAUGAUAAUUCAGUCCACAAACUCACUUCACUUUUACCUCCUGACACACUUGGGAGUAUAAUGUGUUUUUUUUUUUUUUUUCAUUCUGAUCCAGUUUUCUUUUCCUGGAACUGUUCCCCAGACUUUCCUGCAUAUUUAUGACCUUGACACAUUUAAAGAGUAUAUAGGUUUUUGUUUGAACACCUGUUUUCAGGUCUUUGGGGUAUAUACCGAGGAAUGGAAUCAUUGAGUCAUAUGGUAAAUCUAUUUGUAACUUUAUGAAGACACACCGAAUUAUUUUACACAUAGGCUGCACCAUUUCGUAUUGUCACAAG